GAUGAACGCUAGCGGCAGGCUUAGUACAUGCAAGUCGAACGGGGUUCAGGGUAGCAAUACUUUGAUGAGAGUGGCGCACGGGUGCGUAACGCGUAUGCAACCUACCUUUAACAGGUGAAUAGCCCCGAGAAAUCGGGAUUAAUACACCGUAACAUUGCGAGAUGGCAUCAUUUUGCAAUUAAAGAUUUAUCGGUUAAAGAUGGGCAUGCGUGACAUUAGCUAGUUGGUGGGGUAACGGCUCACCAAGGCAACGAUGUCUAGGGGUCCUGAGAGGGUUAUCCCCCACACUGGUACUGAGACACGGACCAGACUCCUACGGGAGGCAGCAGUAAGGAAUAUUGGUCAAUGGGCGCAAGCCUGAACCAGCCAUGCCGCGUGCAGGAAGACGGCCCUAUGGGUUGUAAACUGCUUUUGUCAGGGAAUAAACCUGUCUACGUGUAGGCAGCUGAAGGUACCUGAAGAAUAAGCAUCGGCUAACUCCGUGCCAGCAGCCGCGGUAAUACGGAGGAUGCAAGCGUUAUCCGGAUUCAUUGGGUUUAAAGGGUGCGCAGGCGGAUUGGUAAGUCAGGGGUGAAAUCCCACAGCUCAACUGUGGAACUGCCUUUGAUACUGUCAGUCUAGAGUAUAGUUGAAGUGGGCGGAAUGUGUCAUGUAGCGGUGAAAUGCUUAGAUAUGACACAGAACACCGAUCGCGAAGGCAGCUCGCUAAGCUAUAACUGACGCUCAUGCACGAAAGCGUGGGGAUCAAACAGGAUUAGAUACCCUGGUAGUCCACGCCGUAAACGAUGAUUACUCGAUGUUGGCGAUACACAGUCAGCGUCUUAGGGAAACCAAUAAGUAAUCCACCUGGGGAGUACGAUCGCAAGAUUG
Molecule: ribosomal RNA, 870 nt
Filed under: uncultured bacterium
Lineage: Bacteria
Description: bacterial SSU rRNA
Rfam family: Bacterial small subunit ribosomal RNA
Source: RNAcentral